Molecule: long non-coding RNA, 10825 nt
Filed under: Manihot esculenta (cassava)
Lineage: Eukaryota; Viridiplantae; Streptophyta; Magnoliopsida; Malpighiales; Euphorbiaceae
Description: long non-coding RNA (MESC_LNC000888)
Source: RNAcentral
AACGAUGAGAAUCAAAUGAGUUGAUAAAAAAAAUAUUCUGAAGGAAACAGGCAAACCUCCAUUAUAUAUAAUAGCCUGAUACAAAGUAUAAUUGGUACCACAAUAUUGAUUUUGAGAAGUUCUUACAAAAAAAAAAUCGUCUUUGGCUGAGAGUAAUUAUCAGAGUCGCAAUUUGUCGCAGAGAUAACUGGUGGCGGGCGCUAGUGGAGGCGUUCAAGUUCGAUCGCCAGGGAGGAUUGCUCCAAGGACCUUGUGUGCGAGACAUCGCUGCUGGAAAUUAUUGCUAUUGAUUAUAGGUGGUUGCUGCAAGUCGAUCACCGAUGGUCAGAGAAGAGCUUUCAUCAUUGACGCUGCAAAUCGCGAGUAACAUUCUCACCAACGAUGCAAAUCGCAAGCAACAUUCUCAUCAAAGACGCAAAUUGCAAGCAGAAGACCCAUGGAAAGUUCGUCCAUUACUCAGCCAAGGAAAGAUGGGUGCUAGAAGAGAAGAUGAUAGAAGAUAAGGAAAUAAAAGAGACGAAUAGAAAGAGAAAAAGGGAAAAGAUAUGAUUUUGGUUAAGGAAUAUGAGGAUAAUUUUAUAAAUUUUUUGAUACUCUCUCGUUUCACCGAUAAUUACACUAGUAAACUAACUGAAUAUUUAAUAUAAAAAAAAUUUAAUAAUUUUAUUUUAAAAUUAUAAUGUAAAUACACUAAUUAUCAAACAUCAAAUAAGAAAUAGUUCUGCAAGCUAGUGAAUAGGGAGGUUUACUCUUCCAAGUACAAUUCCUAAAUUUACUUUAUAAUUAAUAAUUAUUAUUAUUAUUAUCCUUCAUGCUAAUUAUUUAAUUAUAUUUAAAAUAUUAUUAUAUUUUAUAUAGUAAAGUUAAAAAUAUAAAUUAAAAUUAUUAAUAGAUACAGUCAAAGUAUUUAUAAUUCUCUAAUUUAUAAUAUGAUAAGCAAAGGGAGGAUGUAAUAUUUUAUAAGAAUUACGUGAUUUGUGAUGCCAAUUAAAAACCUCUAAUGUAUUAUAUAAUUUCUGGAGCAUAGGAGGUCAAAUUUGCCUUGGGCGAAAUAUCUUAAUGAAGAUAUCAAUCAUAUUUGAAGGCUUUGAAAAUUACAAAAGCAAAAGCCCAAGAACUAUCUCCAAUUAAAAGCAAUAUAUUAAACCUAUUGGAAAUUUAUAAGACAGUUCAGUGUUUGCUUUGCUUCUAUAUGACCAUGACUUUUAACAUAUAAUUUGAUGCCAUCAUAAUCAUAUUCUAUAAAUCCUUUUAUUUUCAUUGUAUCUGAUUUUAUACAACACCCACUAGAGAUUAGCUCUUCAACCUUGGUUUAAUUUCAGUAGGGGAAAAUUUAUGUCGGUUUUGUAAUCGAUUGGGUGAAUCAUCUGCCACUUGCUUAUACAUUGCUAUUUUUCUUUAAUUGGCAGAAUCUUGCUUUUGCUUCUAGACAAUUAAUGUAGCCUAGUUCUUGAAUGGGUAAGGAGGAAAGGAAACUUGUAGUUGUGUUUUACGUCUGCUAUAUAUUAUGUGGUCAGUGUAGCUGUUAAGAGAUGAUAUGGAAGUCCCUGUUAGAUGUAUCAUCUUUUACAGAUGGCAAAUUGAAUGAAAGUGUUGAUGAGUCAUUUUCAUGAUGAAGGAAAAUAGCAUGAAGAGCUGGAAUAAUGACAAAGCUGCAAGAAUGAAUAUCACAUGGUCCAGUCCCCACCACCGUCACAUUCUCUCAAAUCAUGAAAGCAUCACUAGGGAAUCCCAGUAUUGCUGGUGUAGUUUUAAACUUCAGAAAUUGGCUUUCCCCUUUGAACAGAAAAUAUUUUCUCUUAACGCUCCAAACACUAAAAGGUAAUUAAGUAAAAAAUGUUUUUUUUUUUAAAUAAGUAUUUUCUAUGAAUGAAAUGGAAAUUUAGUAACCAAAAACAUUACUUUUUCUAAAUUAUUUCUAAAUAAAAGUUUUCAAUAAUUUAUGUUUGUAUUAUUUCUCCAUUAAGAAUGUUAAAUCGUAUUAUUUUAAGUGAAUUACCAUAUUUUCAACAUAAAAAUAAGUUUGUAUCAUUAAUUUGUUAUAAAAACCACAAACCAUGCCAACUCAAAAAAAAAAAGAAACCACAAACCAUGAUUUUUACGCGCUCAACAUUGACAGUUUCCACGCGUAUUUGAAUUAAUUACUAAUUACACAUAUGAUAAAUAGUUAAUAAAAAUAAUUAGGAUUGGAUAAAAAAACCCGAAAUUUAACAACUAUUUUGAUUUAUACUUUAUAUUUAUUUAUAAAAAUUUAAUCCAAUUAAUUUUUUUAAAUAAUUUUUUUGUUUAAAUGAAAAAUUUUAAAUAAUUUUAAUUUUAAAAAAAUAAAAUUCUUGCAUAAUUUAAAAAAAUUAUUUAAAUUUUUUAUUAUAAAAUAAAUUAUAUGGAUAAAUUUGAAUGUAACAAAUAUUGAUGAUCCCUAAAAAUUGCAAUAUAUUGCACAGACUUGAUGCCUAUGAUAUAGCAAAAGUGUUAAAUUUUAGCAAUUCUUUUUAAUUAAAAUAUAUUAGCAUUCAAUUGAAUUAUAAGAUCAAAUCUAAAAAUAAAAAAUUACAUAGACAAACUGAACAUAAUCAUAAUGGAAAAUGAAAUGGCUUGAUGAACAGUUUGACGUGAAGGUGAGGGGAAGUUAAUAUCAUCCCUAGAAGGAAGACCGACGAAUUCCAAAGAAGACUCACUACCCAGACAACAGAAUACUUGUAAGUCAGAAUUCCUUGGGUUUACUCUCUUUAUAAGUCUUUCACCUUUUUUUAUUAUUUUUUUUCAAAUAACUGUUUUUAAUUUAUUUUCCUUUUAAAUCUUACAUUAAUCCUAAUUCUACUGCAAACUAACUAAUUCGUGUCUGAAAAUUGUGUGCAGUAUAUGUAUAAAUGAUUUGUAUUUGUUCCUCUAUCUAUACCUCCAUCCUUGAAAAUUUAUAUUAAUAAUUAAAUUAUUUACAAAAUAAAAUUUGAAUUUAUUACUAAUAUUAUUUUUUAAAUUUAAAUUUAAUUAUAGAAUUAAAAUUUUAUAAUUAAAUUAAAUACUAAAAAUAUAAUAUUUAUAUUUUAAUGGAGACGGUUAUUUAUAUUUUAAUAUAGACAAUGAUAUUUAUUUUUCUUAAUUUUUUAAUUAAAACUUUAAUAAUUGAAGUUUUAAUAGAAAGCUAUUAAAAAUUAAAACAGUUAAAUAAGAAAUACAGGAAAAAAGGUGAUACGUGAAGGGAAAAUGCAUAGUGGCGGUGAUGGUGAAUAAAAAAAUGAAAGUAGUUGAUGAAAUCGAAAAAGAGACUGUGGAUACGUGGUAGAAAAAGAGAGAUACAUCGAGAAGGAGUAGGGGUUACGUGGUGGUAUCAGAUAUAGGGGUUGCAGACGGAGGGUGAUGGAGGGGUUACGUGGUGGUAUCAGAUGUGGUGCUGCAGACAGAGUGACAGUAGUUUGAAUAAACUGUUGCGGGAGUUGGGGUUGCAGUGGAUCUUAUUGCUUUGCGAGGGAGGUUGGUUUGGUUUUCUGACAUAAAUUUGAGGCGACUUUUGGACGGAAAUAGUGCACCAAUUUUGACAGUCUGUUUUUGGAAAUGUAAGUAACAUUUUUAAUUCUUUUUAUAAAACAUUGUAAAAACAUAUUUCUCAAGAAAAAAUAUUUUUUAUUAUUUAAUUAUAAUUUUAAAAAUUAAAUAAAGUUAAUAAAAUUUUAAAUUACAGGAUUUUAAAUUAAAAAAACAUUCAAAAAAUAUUUUUUUUAAAAAUUAAUUUUAUUUUAUAAAAAAUAUUUUUAUUUAUCAAUUACUUUAAAUAUUUUCUGAAAAAAUAGUUUUAGAAAGUAAUAUAUAUAACCAUUAUUUUGCUUAGAAUAAUUGUGAAAUUUAUGAUUAACUCAGUUAUUUUCAGAUAUUCAGUCCAAUCAAGGAAGAUGAAUUUAAAUAAUUGUAAUUGACUUUAAUACAAAUUAUUGAAAAUAAUAGCAUAAUAAAUUCGAAUCAGAUUUAGAUUUUAUUAUAAUAUAUUUAUCGCUGAAUUCGUUUAUAUUUAUAAUUCGGAUAAUUUAUAUUAAUUUUUAAUUGAAUUUGAUGUUUCAAGUAUGUUAAUAUGAAUGGGAUUGUAAUAUAAAUAUAAAUUUUAAAUAUUUUAAUUUUCACAAAUAUUCUAUUCAUUUGGAAAUCAAUUUUAAUUUAGAGUAGAAACGAUUCCACUUUUAAAAUUUUAGAGUUAAAUUUUAAAUUCAUUUCGGUAUAAUUGAUUAUUUUUAAAAUUAUAAUAAUAUCGUAAAAUGAACUUUAUAAAUUUUUUUGUUAAAAGAACUCUUAAUUAAGCAGUAACAUCAUAUUAAACUAUAUUAUUAAGUAUCACUAUACUUUUCCGUUAUAUAGAUGAGAUUUUUCUCCUUAAAAUGAGUCAAAGCAAAGGAAAUUGUAGAAAAAGAAGGAGGUAAAAGGGUUGUCUGAAUUUUUAAUCUCUAAAAUUUAACGUAAUUAAUACUUCUAUCUCUCUAUUUGGGCGACUCAAUACUUAAGUCUCUCAUUUUCUCUACUGUUCAAAUUCGUAUUCCUUUCGUUUAAAUUCGUAAUCAUUCCAUUCAAAAUAAUUAUUUGAUUAAAAAAUUUAAGAUGAGAUGUGAAAUUUAUUUCAAAAAAUACUCUUAAUGAACUUACUAAAAUACCUCUCAACAUGAAAUUUCUCUAUUUUUCUCUGUUUCUUUUCGGCUAUUAUUUGAUUCUCUUUAUUAUUAUUAUUUUUCUAUUGGUAUCUCAAACUCUAAUAAAAAGAAGCUCAAGGCUAAUAUUCAUUAGGCAUUGUAAUGACUCCAGAUUUUUUAAGAAUAUAUAUAUAUUUACGUUCUCUCUAAUAUUAAUAUUGAGUUUCAACUCUCUCUUUCUUUCUUUUUUUUUUUAAUAAUUUAUUAAUUUUUAGAGAAAAUAUUUAGAGAAAAUAAUUUAUUAAUUUUUCAUUCUUAAUUUAAUUGUAAUUUUAUUAAAAAUAAAGGAUAUUAAUAAAUUUAUCAUAAUAGUUUUAAACUUUAGAAAUUGGCUUUCCCCUUUGAACAGAAAAUAUUUUAUUUUAAAAAAAAGUAUUUUCUAAUUUCUAUGAAUGAAAUGGAAAUUUAGUAACCGAAGAAUUACUUUUCCUAAAUUAGUUCUAAAUAAAAGUUUUCAAUAGUUUAUGUUUGUAUUAUUUCUCCAUUAAGAAUUUUAUAUUGUAUUACUUUAAGUGAAUUACCAUAUUUUCAACAUAAAAAUAAGUUUGUAUCAUUAAUUUAUUAUAGAAACCACAAACCAUGAUUUUUACGCGCUCAACAUUAACAGUUUCCACGCGUAUUUGAAUUAGUUACUGUUGGACCUAAAUGUCCUAAUCCUUGUUUUGAUGAUUAAUAAAUAAUUGGUGUGCUACUAAUUAUUUCCAAGAGUGUUUGUAUUGAGCUUGCAGGUCCCUUAUUGAAACAAAUGAUAUUGCUUCAAUCACAAAAGUGAAAAGUGCCAAUUUUGGAAGCAUACUACAAGAAAGGGAUCAUAAAAUAUUUUUAUUUAUUAUGCUUGUCAUUCUAUUCAUUGUGAUUUUCAAGUAAUUGAUUGUGAUGGCUCAAGGUUCUUUCAUUUCUAAAAGUUCUUUUAGAUAUGGCCAAUUUUUUUUUGAGUACUUGACCUUCAGGGACCAAAAUGAAAUUUUCCAAAAAAAGUGCUUUUGAAAAUAUUUUUCAUCAAAUUGAAAGUUCUAAAAAUAUAGGUUAUAAAAAUUCAAACGGAUUGAAAAAUGGAUUUUUGUAGCCUAAGUUAUGAUUUUUCAAAGUUUUAAAGAAGAAUUUUUGUGCCCCCUAAACACAACCUUCGGCUUCCGAAAGUCAGGGACAGAAACGAAAGUCCCCUAUGUUCGGCCGCCGAACAUUGACUUUCGGCCGCCGAAAGUGGGCUUUUCAACCAGCCCCCAAAGUGUAACCUUCGGCUUCCGAAAGUGAGGGACAGAGACGAAAGUCCCACACUUUCGGCCGCCGAACAUUUAACCUUCGGCCGCCGAAAGUGUGUUUUGGGUCUGCCUCCGAAGCCUAAAGUUCGGCUUCCGAAAGAGAGGAACAGAGACGAAAGUCACCCAAGUUCGGCCGCCGAACUCUGACUUUAGGCCGCCGAAAGUUCUUUUUUAAAGGAAUUGUUUCUUCACCUCAAAUGGUUCGGCCGCCGAACUCUAAGCUUAGGCCGCCGAACCUGAGUUUUUUCUGGGCACGGUAUAACGGUUAUUUCUGAACAUAAACGGCUCUAUUUGCAUUUAAUGCACCCCCAACGGCCAUAUUUAUGAUAGAACUAUAAAUACAACUUGUUUUUGUUGUUGUAAGGUUACAACAACCAUCUAAGCAAAUAUUUAUUGAGAUUACAGCUUUUUUCAUUCCCUCUCUCUCAAAACCUUGAGCCAAAGCAUUGAUUUCUUGAAAGCUUGUUUUGAGUUGUAAUUGAUUGGCUUCUCUGAGUGAGUAAAGGUUGAUUGAGAGAUUCUGUUGUUGUGAGUGUGGCAUUGAGCAAAGAAUUGCUCUUGAGUGGAAAAAGAGAUUUGUAAAGAGUAAAGGCUUGCUCUAAGAUUGUAAGGGUUUUGAUCUUCACCCAAAGAAGAUUUGAUAGUGGAGUUGAACUCUCAAGUGGACCUUGAGGAGAGGACGUAGGCUUGGAUAGCUGAACCUCUAUAAAUCUUUGUGUUGAUUUUUCUCUUCCCUAUUCUCUUCUAAUUUCUUGUCUUUGCCAUUAAAUUUUUAUAAACCCAAUUCACCCCCCCUCUUGGGUUGCCUGAAGGGACAACAGUUACUAAUUAGACAUACGAUAAAUAGUUAAUAAAAAUAAUUGGAAUUGGAUAUAAAAAAAAUCCGAAAAUUAACAACUAUUUUGAUUUAUACUUUAUAUUUAAAAUUAAUUAUUUUAUAAAAAUUUAAUCCAAUUGAUAUUUUUUAAAUAAUUUUUUUGAAAUGAAAUUUUUUAAUUACUUUUAAUUUAAAAAUAUAUUAUUUAAAAAAAAUUAUUGCAUAAUUUAAAAAAAAUAUCUAAAUUUUUUUAUUAUAAAAUAAAUUAUAUGGAUAAAAUUUAAUGUAAUAUUUUUAAUGGACUGCAUUCAAAAUUAGUAGAAAUAGUUAAAUAAAUUGAAAUAGUAAAUGAAUAUAUAUGUAAAUGAAAAUAAUAAUUAGAAAGAUAUUAUUACCCCCACUAGUUGUAACUUAACAGGUUCUUUUAUUAUGUCCCACUUGUGACACCUUUUGCAAACCAUUGUGGCAUUCAUUUUCCUCUUUAGAGCUGAACCUGUCUCACCAUCUUCUCUCAUUCUUGUCUUUUUUGGUUUGUCCGGUUGCCUUUUCAAAGGAGGGGGCUGUAUUGUUGGGUGAUCAUCAUCUGGUUGCAAAUCCCUUUGUGGUAUGGGAUGUAUUGCAUGUUGAUGUACCUUCUCGCAUAUAGAAAUGGUGAAACAUUCAUCACAAAAGUCUUCAAUCUUAACUCUCUUGUAUCUUAUUACUUUAACAACAUGCUUGCAUGACAAGCCUGAAACAUCCCACCAACCACAUGAAUAAGUUCUCAUUUCAAGUGAAACUCCAAACCUAUAAGGACCUUCGUGACAUUCAAAUUCAUUAUUUCUUCAAGGAAUUAACUUCACACAUCUACUAUAGUUUAUAAUUUGCCUCAAAGUCUUUUGAGUUCUUGGGGUCACUUUACCUUGCCAAGUUGCAGCCUUCUCGUACCUUUAAUGGAAUCUAAGCAUACAUCUCUGCCUUACCUUCUCAAUAAUUUGAAUGAUUGGCAAACCCUUUAGAUUUUCAAUCCAGCUGUUAAAUGAUUCAGUGAAAUUGUUGGUGUAGUUGUCACACUUUGCUGUUGUCUAACAUGCAUGUCUUGACCAAUGUGAAAGUGGUAUCUUCAGCAACCAAUCAUAAGGCUUCUGCUCCUUAAAUUUCAUAUUUUUCAUAUGUAGCCAAAACUCAUAUCCAUGAGUAGUUUUGGCUGUAUUCCAGAAGUCCUUGUUUAAUGUCAACCCAAGAAACUCCUUCUUAAAAUUAAUGUAUAAGUGUCUACAGUUAGGGGUGAGCAUUCGGCCGGUUCAGUUUAAAACCGAAUCGAACCGAAUAAAUCGAAAGCUAAAAUUUUAGUAUUUAUAAAAAUUGAAUCGAACCGAUUUUGAUCAGAAAUCGAAUCGAACCGAACCGGUCUGAUUCAGUUCGAUUCAAUUCGGUUUGAUUAGUUUCGAUUUUUAAUAAAUUUUUUAUUUUUUACACUUUAUUUUUAAUAUUUUAAAAUUUAAUUAAAAUAUUUUAAUAUUAAUAUAAUUUAAUUUCUCUAUAUUAUUGAAAAUAACAUAUUAUUAUCACUAAUCGGUUCGGUUCGAUUUUUUUAAUUUUUUUCUGAUCAAAACCAAACCGAACCAAAAUAACUGAAAUUUUUAAAAUUAAAAACUGAACCGAACCGAAUUGAAUAAAAAAUCGAACCGAAUUUUGAAAUGAAUUCGAUUCGGUCGGUUUUUUCGAUUUGAACCAAAUACUGCUCACCCCUAUCUACAGCAAAACCUGUGAGCAACUGAAGGAAAUAUGUCCUUCACAGCUUCCUUUAAUCCCUGCAAAAAAAAGAAGUUUUCAUUAUAUAAAGUCUAUUGAAAUAAUUGUGAAAGGAAUAUAAUGCAGAUAAUGAACAUAUAUAUUUUGUCUAUCAGACAUUAUUGUCCAUAGUCUGUCAUCUGUAUCUUACCCAAUACGUGAUUCCAUGCAUUGUAGAAACCACCUCGAGCUAUCUCCACAUUUAAAUUCAACUACUGCAAAAGCUAAGGGCAACACUCCCCUAUUGCCAUCCAAUACAAUAGCACAUAGGAAUAUCCCACCAUAAAAUCCCUUAAGAUGACAUUCAUCCAACACAAAAAAGGGGUCUACAUAUAUCUAUGAAUCAUGCUCUAACAGCAUCAAACAUGAUAAAUACUUUCUUGAAGACCCUAGGUUCAUUACAAUUAACAGGUUCAGUACUUUGAAUUUUCACCUCAUUACCAGGAUUGAACAUCUACAAGAAGUGUACAUACUUAUGCAAUUGUUUGUAAGAGUCUUCAUGCAAACUAAUAUUUUUUUCUUUUGCCUUACAUUUGGUUUUAUACAACUGCCAUAUAGGGGGCUAACACCCCACUUUUCCUUCAAUUCAUUUCGCAUCAAUUCAUAACUCAUUUUAAUAUCAGCUCUCAAAUUACUCUUAAGUUUUUCAGCAAUCCAAAUGCAAGUAUGGUUAUAUUUUGGUUGUCAAUUGGUCUUAUACAUGUAUAUUCAUCUUGCAACGUUUUAAUCAUAAAUGUAUUCUUGUCACGUAAAACAGAAGCAUAAAAUCUCCAAGGACAAGUAUCAUUGUCACAUACUGCGGUAACUCUUUUAUUGUCAUUUUUCUUUCUAAUUAUUGUAAAGUCCCCUUUGACUGCAUAGUCUCUAAGUGCAUCUCUAACUACUUGGACAUUAUUGUAACGACCCGGAAACCGGACUGCUACCGGCGCUAGGAUCCAGAUCAGCUUAAGGCCGCCGGGACCCGUAGCAAGCCUAACAUACAUCCUGAAUAACCGGUAUAAUCCCAUAUAUGAUCAAAUAUAAACAUAAAAACUUUAAAAUCUUUUAUAAAAAACUUGACCAAUUUUAAAUUGUAUUUCUUCCCCUUCUUGUCAAGAAAAUUGAUCUGAGUAUAAUCUUUUUAAAUGAUUUUUCCAUUUUCUCUGACGACCCUGAUCAUCUACAGUUUUAGCUUCUUCAUCAAUAUUGUCUUCAUCUCGGCUAUGAAAUCAGAGAAAGGGAUAUAAUCACUUUCACCCAUCAUUUCAUCCUCCAUCUCAUCCUCUUUACACAAUUCUUCAUUAUUAUUGUUUUCACUAUUAGCAUCCACAGAAUCAGUACCAACAGAAUCAACAUCUACAGAAUCUGCACCAACUUCUUCUACAUUUUCCUCCUCUCCUUUUAUGUUUUCUUCUUAUCGGAGCUAGGCUCACGGACGACCCUCCCUGUUCCGUGCACUAGGACCGGGAUUUAAGAUAAUGAACCGGGCAACUCAGGAAAGCGACAGGGGUUUUGGCCCAGCACUAUUUUCUUGAGCUCGAUCUUGUCCAAAAGUGGUGAAGCCCAACGGUCAUCAACAAUCUUAUACUAAUUUCAAUAUAAUUCCCACCAUUCUCAUUUUCAAAAAAAUUUUAAAAUUAACAAAGUUCCCCGUAUAAUCAACAAAUGACAUUACAUAGUGCCACUAAUUUUAUGCAAUCGAUAGAAGUGAUAAUAAUUAAAAUCUCCAUAAUGAUGAGAAUCAAAUGAGUUGAUAAAAAUAUAUUUUGAAGGAAACAGGCAAACCUCCAUUAUAUAUAAUAGCCAGAUACAAAGUAUAAUUGGUACCACAAUAUUGAUUUUGAGAAAUUCUUAUAAAAAAACAAAAAACGUCUUUGGCUGAGAGUAAUUAUUAGAGUCGCAAUUUGUCGCAGAGAUAACUGGUGGCGUGCGCUAGUGGAGGCGUUGAAGUUCGAUCGCGAGGGAGGAUUGCUCCAAGGACGUUGUGUACGAGACAUCGCUGCUGGAAAUUAUUGCUAUUGAUUAUUUGGUGGUUGCUGCAAGUCGAUCACCGAUGGUCAGAGUAGAGCUUUCAUCAUUGACGCUGCAAAUAGCGAGUAACAUUCUCACCAAAGAUGCAAAUCGCAAGCAACAUUCUCAUCAACGACGCAAAUUGCAAGCAGAAGACCCAUGGAAAGUUCGUCCAUUACUCAGCCAAGGAAAGAUGGGUGCUAGAAGAGAAGAUGAUAGAAGAUAAGGAAAUAAAAGAGACGAAUAGAAAGAGAAAAAGGGAAAAGAUAUGAUUUUGGUUAAGGAAUAUGAGGAUAAUUUUAUAAAUUUUU